Long non-coding RNA from Oncorhynchus tshawytscha (Chinook salmon), 607 nucleotides. The record is from Ensembl. Lineage: Eukaryota; Metazoa; Chordata; Actinopteri; Salmoniformes; Salmonidae.
AUGGUGACAGGUGUGUGUAAUGAUGGUGACAGGUGUGUGUAAUGAUGGUGACAGGUGUGUGUAACGAUGGUGACAGGUGUGUGUAACGAUGGUGACAGGUGUGUGUAACGAUGGUGACAGGUGUGUGUAAUGAUGGUGACAGGUGUGUGUAACGAUGGUGACAGGUGUGUGUAAUGAUAGUGACAGGUGUGUGUAACGAUGGUGACAGAUGUGUGUAACGAUGGUGACAGGUGUGUGUAACGAUGGUGACAGGUGUGUGUAAUGAUGGUGACAGGUGUGUGUAACGAUGGUGACAGGUAUGUGUAACGAUAGUGACAGGUGUGUGUAACGAUGGUGAUAGGUGUGUGUAACGAUGGUGACAGGUGUGUGUAAUGAUGGUGACAGGUGUGUGUAACGAUGGUGACAGGUGUGUGUAAUGAUGGUGACAGGUGUGUGUAAUGAUGGUGACAGGUGUGUGUGAUGAUGGUGACAGGUGUGUGUAAUGAUGGUGACAGGUGUGUGUAAUGAUGGUGACAGGUGUGUGUAACGAUGGUGACAGGUGUGUGUAAUGAUGGUGACAGGUGUGUGUAAUGAUGGUGACAGGUGUGUGUAAUGAUGGUGACAGGUG